GUGAGGAAUAUUGGUCAAUGGGCGAGAGCCUGAACCAGCCAAGUAGCGUGCAGGAUGACGGCCCUAUGGUUCGUAAACUUCUUUUGCAGGGGAAUAAAGUGCAGGACGUGUCCUGUUUUGUAUGUACCCUGAGAAUAAGGAUCGGCUAACUCCGUGCCAGCAGCCGCGGUAAUACGGAGGAUCUGAGCGUUAUCCGGAUUUAUUGGGUUUAAAGGGUGCGUAGGUGGUUUGAUAAGUCAGCGGUGAAAGUUUGCAGCUUAACUGUAAAAAUGCCGUUGAAACUGUCGGACUUGAGUGUAAAUGAGGUAGGCGGAAUGCGUGGUGUAGCGGUGAAAUGCAUAGAUAUCACGCAGAACUCCGAUUGCGAAGGCAGCUUACUAAGCUACAACUGACACUGAAGCACGAAAGCGUGGGGAUCGAACAGGAUUAGAUACCCUGGUAGUCC
RNAcentral lists this ribosomal RNA (445 nucleotides) under uncultured bacterium. Its description in RNAcentral is "partial 16S ribosomal RNA". It matches the Rfam family "Bacterial small subunit ribosomal RNA", at positions 354 to 796 of the family's 1533-position model. The record is from RNAcentral.